Molecule: ribosomal RNA, 284 nt
Filed under: uncultured archaeon
Lineage: Archaea
Description: partial 16S ribosomal RNA
Rfam family: Archaeal small subunit ribosomal RNA
Source: RNAcentral
AUCAUGCGGGCACGUGAUAGGGAACCUCGAGUGCCUGUAUAUGCAGGCUGUCCAGGUGUCUAAAACACACCUGAAGAAAGGGCCGGGCAAGACCGGUGCCAGCCGCCGCGGUAAUACCGGCGGCUCGAGUGGUGGCCACUUUUAUUGGGCUUAAAGCGUUCGUAGCUGGGUUGUUAAGUCUCUUGGGAAAUCCGGCAGCUUAACUGUCGGGCGUCUAAGGGAUACUGGUAAUCUUGGAACCGGGAGAGGUGAGGGGUACUUCGGGGGUAGGAGUGAAACCUGUA